RNAcentral lists this transfer RNA (56 nucleotides) under Caenorhabditis nouraguensis. Its description in RNAcentral is "tRNA-Val". RNAcentral also lists the same sequence under 1 other name. Lineage: Eukaryota; Metazoa; Nematoda; Chromadorea; Rhabditida; Rhabditidae. The record is from RNAcentral.
GAAUUUUUAGUUUAAUUUAGAAUGUAUCACUUACAAUGAUAGGGUUUAAAAGUUCU